Salmo salar (Atlantic salmon) is the source of this 742-nucleotide long non-coding RNA. RefSeq lists it as uncharacterized. Lineage: Eukaryota; Metazoa; Chordata; Actinopteri; Salmoniformes; Salmonidae. The record is from RefSeq and is a predicted model, not a curated record.
GAAAACAGUGGCACGAGAAAAGAAAAUGGGUGGGAGCCCUUGUCUGCCCUUUCAUCAAACAGAGACCGAAGACAUUAAUUGGAUGUGGGCCUCUCUUGUGCCCCUGGCUGUCACGGAAGUACGCAUCACCCCUCCCCGGGAAAAAAAUGGCACAGGUAGAAUGGGCCUCGUCGACAUGGAUUGUAAAGAAACGGCAUUCAAAACUGAUGCUGAAGACGGGAAUCGCUCUACACAAGAGAGUUCCCAGUUGUCUUGAAAGCACCAUAAAUCCAGAGAAUUCCAGACUUUGAUAACAAAAUUAUCCCACGAAGGACUGCCGUGCCACUUUCCUGUUCAAGUGAGCACAGCACAACAAGUGGUGGGGGAGUGCCAAGCCAAGAUGGAGGAGCUGUGGCUUCAAAACAGAGCCCCCUGUCAGUCAAUGGUUGCGACCCCAUGUGGUCAUUGUUAAAAGUAUGUGUGUAAUCAUGGAAUGGUUUUGACUCUGUGCCAUCUUUUGAUUAUUUGUUUGUGGUGAAAGUAGGCCUACAUCCGUUUUUAUUUGAUAAUGCACUGAUUUAUUAAUUUGUUUUAAUGUUUGCUAGUAAUUAUUCCAAUCAAUAAAUUAACAGUCUUGUUAUGAAUGAUUCAUGGAAAUGUAAUGAAAAUAAUGUAUUUUAAUAACUUAAUUUGUUUUUAUUUGAUUUUAUAAAAUAGCAUUUUUUAACUGAUAAUAAAGUGAAGUAGUGGAGGAAAAACUGAA